UACGUAGGGGGCAAGCGUUGUCCGGAUUUAUUGGGCGUAAAGAGCGUGUAGGCGGCCAGGGAGGUCCGUUGUGAAAACUCGAGGCUCAACCUCGAGACGCCGAUGGAAACCCCCUGGCUAGAGUCCGGAAGAGGAGAAUGGAAUUCCUGGUGUAGCGGUGAAAUGCGCAGAUAUCAGGAAGAACACCCGUGGCUAAGGCGGUUCUCUGGAACGCAACUGACGCUGAGACGCGAAAGCGUGGGGAGCAAACAGG
Molecule: ribosomal RNA, 253 nt
Filed under: uncultured bacterium
Lineage: Bacteria
Description: partial 16S ribosomal RNA
Rfam family: Bacterial small subunit ribosomal RNA
Source: RNAcentral